Molecule: ribosomal RNA, 465 nt
Filed under: uncultured bacterium
Lineage: Bacteria
Description: partial 16S ribosomal RNA
Rfam family: Bacterial small subunit ribosomal RNA
Source: RNAcentral
CCUACGGGUGGCAGCAGUGAGGAAUAUUGGUCAAUGGGCGAAAGCCUGACGCAGCGACGCCGCGUGAGGGAUGAAGGUCUUCGGAUCGUAAAACUCUGUCAGCAGGGAAGAACGGUCACUGUGCUAAUCAGCAGUGAAUUGACGGUACCCGCAAAGGAAGCACCGGCUAACUCCGUGCUAGCAGCCGCGGUAAUACGGAGGGGGCGAGCGUUAAUCGGAAUUACUGGGCGUAAAGAGCUCGUAGGCGGUAUGGCAAGUCAAGGGUGAAAUCCCCGCGCUCAACGUGGGAACGGCCUUUGAAACUGGCAAACUGGAGUGUGUGAGAGGAUAGCGGAAUUCCAGGUGUAGGAGUGAAAUCCGUAGAUAUCUGGAGGAACAUCAGUGGCGAAGGCGACUAUCUGGCACAUAACUGACGCUGAGGAGCGAAAGCGUGGGUAGCAAACAGGAUUAGAUACCCCAGUAGUC